GGGUUGUGAGGUUAAGCGACUAAGCGUACACGGUGGAUGCCCUGGCAGUCAGAGGCGAUGAAGGACGUGCUAAUCUGCGAUAAGCGUCGGUAAGGUGAUAUGAACCGUUAUAACCGGCGAUUUCCGAAUGGGGAAACCCAGUGUGAUUCGUCACACUAUCAUUAACUGAAUCCAUAGGUUAAUGAGGCGAACCGGGGGAACUGAAACAUCUAAGUACCCCGAGGAAAAGAAAUCAACCGAGAUUCCCCCAGUAGCGGCGAGCGAACGGGGAGCAGCCCAGAGCCUGAAUCAGUGUGUGUGUUAGUGGAAGCGUCUGGAAAGGCGCGCGAUACAGGGUGACAGCCCCGUACACAAAAAUGCACAUGCUGUGAGCUCGAUGAGUAGGGCGGGACACGUGGUAUCCUGUCUGAAUAUGGGGGGACCAUCCUCCAAGGCUAAAUACUCCUGACUGACCGAUAGUGAACCAGUACCGUGAGGGAAAGGCGAAAAGAACCCCGGCGAGGGGAGUGAAAAAGAACCUGAAACCGUGUACGUACAAG
RNAcentral lists this ribosomal RNA (539 nucleotides) under Escherichia coli. Its description in RNAcentral is "partial 23S ribosomal RNA". It matches the Rfam family "Bacterial large subunit ribosomal RNA", at positions 1 to 570 of the family's 2925-position model. Lineage: Bacteria; Pseudomonadati; Pseudomonadota; Gammaproteobacteria; Enterobacterales; Enterobacteriaceae. RNAcentral also lists the same sequence under 1 other name. The record is from RNAcentral.